GACAGAGGCCUCGAGCGUUAGGCGGAAUCACUGGGCUUAAAGCGUGUGUAGGCGGAUCGUUAAGUACCUUGUGAAAUCCCACGGCUCAACCGUGGAACUGCUUGGCAUACUGGCGGUCUUGAGCAACCUAGGGGCGAGCGGAACAAAUGGUGGAGCGGUGAAAUGCGUAGAUAUCAUUUGGAACGCCAAUGGUGAAAACAGCUCGCUGGGGGUUUGCUGACGCUGAGACACGAAAGCCAGGGGAGCAAACGGG
Molecule: ribosomal RNA, 253 nt
Filed under: uncultured bacterium
Lineage: Bacteria
Description: partial 16S ribosomal RNA
Rfam family: Bacterial small subunit ribosomal RNA
Source: RNAcentral